UGCCUUGCUAGAUGAAGUGUGGUACAACCACCAAAAGUAGUGAGCGCCUUCUCGGACAGUCACUUCACUCCAUUUUUGUUUCGUUGAGCCAACGCCUUUUUCUUCAUCACUUUUUACUUCUUUUGCUUCAAGUAAAAAAAAAUGUUAAAUUUG
Cotesia glomerata is the source of this 153-nucleotide long non-coding RNA. RefSeq lists it as uncharacterized. The record is from RefSeq and is a predicted model, not a curated record. Lineage: Eukaryota; Metazoa; Arthropoda; Insecta; Hymenoptera; Braconidae. The transcript is spliced from 4 exons.